AUGUACGAGCGGGACAUGUCGCACCGAGCACCGUCCGCGCCCAUCUGACAGCUGCUCGCUACGUUGUGUUGGUC
Xanthomonas oryzae pv. oryzae is the source of this 74-nucleotide small RNA. It matches the Rfam family "Xanthomonas sRNA sX9". The record is from Rfam. NCBI's taxonomy places the organism in Bacteria, Pseudomonadati, Pseudomonadota, Gammaproteobacteria, Lysobacterales, Lysobacteraceae.